Non-coding RNA from Pangasius djambal, 72 nucleotides. The record is from the annotation of a GenBank genome assembly. NCBI's taxonomy places the organism in Eukaryota, Metazoa, Chordata, Actinopteri, Siluriformes, Pangasiidae.
UCCCUGGAUCACUAGUGGUUAGACCACAGCGCUCUCACCCCUGUGGCCUGGGUUCAAUUCCCUGUCAGGGAA